AGACGUAGGGGGCGAGCGUUGUCCGGAAUUACUGGGCGUAAAGAGCACGUAGGCGGGUUAAUAAGUCAGAUGUGAAAGACCGAGGCUCAACCACGGGGUUGCAUCUGAAACUGUAAAUCUUGAGGGCAGGAGAGGAAAGUGGAAUUCCUGGUGUAGCGGUGAAAUGCGUAGAAAUCAGGAGGAAUACCAGUGGCGAAGGCGACUUUCUGGACUGACCCUGACGCUGAGGUGCGAAAGCGUGGGUAGCAAACAGGAUUAGAUACCCUGGUAGUCCACGCUGUAAACGAUGGAUACUAGGUGUGGGAGGUAUCGACCCCUUCCGUGCCGCAGCCAACGCAAUAAGUAUCCCGCCUGGGGAGUACGGUCGCAAGGCUGAA
Molecule: ribosomal RNA, 377 nt
Filed under: uncultured bacterium
Lineage: Bacteria
Description: bacterial SSU rRNA
Rfam family: Bacterial small subunit ribosomal RNA
Source: RNAcentral